UUGGAAAUUAACGACACAGACUGAGAAGGACAAAGACAGGGGGAAAGGGAUUUCUGAAAUGUCAGGGACUCCCUCCUGCUGACAUUUUCCUAACAGCUUGUCAGGGGCUUUCUCUGUGACACUGGAGCUGGAUUUUCCCACAGGAUCCUACAAACCUUUGCUGGUCCCCAACUGGAGGUCACUGCACAGGCUCUCUUCCUGGGUCCACCUGCUCCACUGACCUUGUCUAGGCAACAUGCCCAUGGGACCCAGUCAACUGUUAGCCAUGGCCACGCUCCCUCUAGACUUGUUUAAAACCUUUAUUGUGACACUUAUUCCAUUCGAAUAUGAUUAAUUUGUUACAUUUCUGAAUCUCUUACAAGACUAUGAACUCCCCAGGGUGCCAGGGUGGCUCAGUCGGUUGAGUGUCCAACUCGUAAUUUUGGCUCAGGUCAUGAUCCCAGGGUGUGGGAUCACGCCCUGCAUUGGACCCUGCACUGAGCAUGGAGCCUGCUUGAGAUUUUCUCUCUCUCUCUCUCUCUCCCUCUGCCCCUCUCUCC
Molecule: long non-coding RNA, 539 nt
Organism: Leopardus geoffroyi (Geoffroy's cat)
Lineage: Eukaryota; Metazoa; Chordata; Mammalia; Carnivora; Felidae
Exons: 2
Source: RefSeq, a predicted model, not a curated record